UAACAAUCAGACUGCCAAGGGAUACUGUCGAACUUGAGACCGGGAGAGGUAAGAGGUACUUCAGGGGUAGGA
RNAcentral lists this ribosomal RNA (72 nucleotides) under uncultured archaeon. RNAcentral describes it as "partial 16S ribosomal RNA". The record is from RNAcentral.